RNAcentral lists this ribosomal RNA (497 nucleotides) under uncultured bacterium. Its description in RNAcentral is "partial 16S ribosomal RNA". It matches the Rfam family "Bacterial small subunit ribosomal RNA", at positions 29 to 507 of the family's 1533-position model. The record is from RNAcentral.
UACUAACUCUGGCGGCGUGCCUAAUACAUGCAAGUUGAGCGCUGAAGGUUGGUACUUGUACCAACUGGAUGAGCAGCGAACGGGUGAGUAACGCGUGGGGAAUCUGCCUUUGAGCGGGGGACAACAUUUGGAAACGAAUGCUAAUACCGCAUAAAAACUUUAAACACAAGUUUUAAGUUUGAAAGAUGCAAUUGCAUCACUCAAAGAUGAUCCCGCGUUGUAUUAGCUAGUUGGUGAGGUAAAGGCUCACCAAGGCGAUGAUACAUAGCCGACCUGAGAGGGUGAUCGGCCACAUUGGGACUGAGACACGGCCCAAACUCCUACGGGAGGCAGCAGUAGGGAAUCUUCGGCAAUGGACGAAAGUCUGACCGAGCAACGCCGCGUGAGUGAAGAAGGUUUUCGGAUCGUAAAACUCUGUUGGUAGAGAAGAACGUUGGUGAGAGUGGAAAGCUCAUCAAGUGACGGUAACUACCCAGAAAGGGACGGCUAACUACGUG